RNAcentral lists this ribosomal RNA (206 nucleotides) under uncultured bacterium. RNAcentral's name for it is "partial 16S ribosomal RNA". It matches the Rfam family "Bacterial small subunit ribosomal RNA", at positions 568 to 773 of the family's 1533-position model. The record is from RNAcentral.
CUCGUAGGCGGCCAACUAAGUCGGACGUGAAAUCCCCAGGCUCAACCUGGGAACUGCGUCCGAUACUGGAUGGCUUGAAUCCGGGAGAGGGAUGCAGAAUUCCAGGUGUAGCGGUGAAAUGCGUAGAUAUCUGGAGGAAUACCGGUGGCGAAGGCGGCAUCCUGGACCGGCAUUGACGCUGAGGAGCGAAAGCCAGGGGAGCAACG